AUACGGAGGGUGCAAGCGUUAUCCGGAAUCACUGGGUUUAAAGGGUGCGUAGGCGGCUUGAUAAGUCAGGGGUGAAAGCUCACUGCUCAACAGUGGAAUUGCCUUUGAUACUGUCAGGCUAGAAUGGGCGCGAGGCAAGCGGAAUGUGACAUGUAGCGGUGAAAUGCAUAGAUAUGUCAUAGAACACCAAUUGCGUAGGCAGCUUGCCAGAGCCGCAUUGACGCUGAGGCACGAAAGCGUGGGGAGCGAACAGGAUUAGAUACCCUGGUAGUCCACGCCCUAAACGAUGUUUACUCGACGUACGCCCAUAGAGGUGUGCGUCCAAGCGAAAGCGCUAAGUAAACCACCUGGGGAGUACGCCGGCAACGGUGAA
RNAcentral lists this ribosomal RNA (373 nucleotides) under uncultured bacterium. RNAcentral describes it as "bacterial SSU rRNA". It matches the Rfam family "Bacterial small subunit ribosomal RNA", at positions 523 to 898 of the family's 1533-position model. The record is from RNAcentral.